RNAcentral lists this transfer RNA (72 nucleotides) under Camelus bactrianus (Bactrian camel). It matches the Rfam family "tRNA". Rfam says of the family: Transfer RNA (tRNA) molecules are approximately 80 nucleotides in length. Their secondary structure includes four short double-helical elements and three loops (D, anti-codon, and T loops). RNAcentral also lists the same sequence under 2 other names. The record is from Rfam by way of RNAcentral. Lineage: Eukaryota; Metazoa; Chordata; Mammalia; Artiodactyla; Camelidae.
GAGGGUAUAGCUCAGUGGUAAAGGGCAUGCUAAGCAUGCACGAGGUCCUGGGUUCAAUUCCCAGGACCUCCA